ACCUACGGCCAGACCGGGCUGAUCGCACCCGAUCCCGUCCGAUCUCGGAAGGUAAGCAGUCCCUGGCCCAGCUAGUAGCUGGAUGGGAGACUGCCUGGGAAUCCCGGGUGCUGUAGGCC
This is a ribosomal RNA of Alligator mississippiensis (American alligator), 119 nucleotides long. NCBI's taxonomy places the organism in Eukaryota, Metazoa, Chordata, Crocodylia, Alligatoridae. The record is from Rfam.